GAUGAACGCUGGCGGCGUGCCUAAUACAUGCAAGUCGAGCGAACAGACGAGGAGCUUGCUCCUCUGACGUUAGCGGCGGACGGGUGAGUAACACGUGGAUAACCUACCUAUAAGACUGGGAUAACUUCGGGAAACCGGAGCUAAUACCGGAUAAUAUAUUGAACCGCAUGGUUCAAUAGUGAAAGACGGUUUUGCUGUCACUUAUAGAUGGAUCCGCGCCGCAUUAGCUAGUUGGUAAGGUAACGGCUUAUCACGGCGACGAUGCGUAGCCGACCUGAGAGAGUGAUCGGCCACACGGGAACGGAAACACGGACCAGACGCCUACGAGAGGCAGCAGUAGGGAAUCUGCCGCAGUAGUCGAAAGCCUGACGGAGCAACGCCGCGUGAGUGAUAAAGGUGUUCGGAUCGUAAAGCUCUGUUAUGAGGGAAGAACAAAUGUGUAAGUAACUAUGCACGUCUUGACGGUACCGAAUCAGAAAGCCACGGCUAACUACGUG
RNAcentral lists this ribosomal RNA (497 nucleotides) under uncultured bacterium. Its description in RNAcentral is "partial 16S ribosomal RNA". It matches the Rfam family "Bacterial small subunit ribosomal RNA", at positions 28 to 507 of the family's 1533-position model. The record is from RNAcentral.